UUUCCUAUUUCUUCUUUUAUUCUUCCCGACUCUCUCUCGCGUCUCUCUCGCGUCUCUCUCGUUACAAACGGCGAUAGAACAUGCGAUUCCCUGCAACUAUCAUCACCUUCCAGCUCAGUCUCAUCGUCAUUACGGUUGCUUCACUGCGGCGACGGAACCAUCGGCGGAUGGUGUGAUAACGACGGCGGAUGGUGAGUCUGAUUGCCUUAAAGGGACGGCGGAGUCCACCGGCGAGCGAGUCGCGCACACAAGGACAUUGAUGGGAAUGAUGUUGCUUUGGAAAAAUUCAAGGGGAAAGUUCUGUUGAUCGUGGGUUUAGUGGAGUUGAUCAUCCUGUUAGCCUAUGAUGGGUUUUGUCAAGACUCGCUCCUGAUUAAGUCGCUUUUGAAAUUAGACAAACCCUUGUUCUAUUGGGAAGCAAUUCACUGUUUUUUUUCAUGCUUCUUCUUCUUGUUUAUAACUGAGUCAAUUCAAGGGAAUUGAGUUUUAUCAAGGUAGAUUUUUGACAAGGUUGCGUGAACCUUGAUUGAGUAUAUAUUACUAUCCAUAUGAUACUGUUAGUCAUUUGAGUGUCAAGCAAAGUAUAGGGGGUUCUUGGUUGUAUCUAUCAUGGUGGGAACCAGUUAUAGAAACAUGUUUGUAGCAGGUUAUGCCACAAGUUCCGCAUCCGUCAUUAGUGAUUUGCAUUCUAGAUAGUUUAUGUUUUUUCAAAUGUUUGAUGCAGGAUUUGUUGUUGGAUUCUUGUUACAAAUGAUGAGCACUGGGCAAAAGGGUCCAAAUUUUUAAAUGGCAACGUGGUGAAUCAUCAUCGUCUUUGACAACCGGAUUACUUCAUAAUGAGUCCCACGAGAUUGAGCUAUCUAACUACGGAGGAAUACCAAGUCCUGGUAGUGAGAGCCCGUCGGGUCUUCUUAAUGGACAGAGUUUAAAUGUUCAACCAAUUGCUGAUUUGGAUCUUUUUGUUGAAAGGCUCUACAGCUACUAUAGAGACAAAGGCCUUUGGUGUAUUAUCGUAAAGUGGGCUGUAUAGAAAGGUAAUUAGCAAAGAACUCACUCAUGUAGCUUCUACUUUCAUAUCACCGAUGUCUUUCUUUCCAUCAUGAAUGAAUCAUAGCCUUUUUUGUAUUUUUGGAUUCUUGUUUUGAAACGACGGUUUUACAUGAUAAUAGAGUUUGCUCAUUCAUAUAAUGACCAUGGGGAUCUGUCUCUC
This is a non-coding RNA of Camelina sativa (false flax), 1210 nucleotides long. The record is from RefSeq and is a predicted model, not a curated record. NCBI's taxonomy places the organism in Eukaryota, Viridiplantae, Streptophyta, Magnoliopsida, Brassicales, Brassicaceae.